AUUUAAAUAAUUUAAUUUUAAAAUAUUGAUUUGUGGUAUCAAAAAUAUGAUUUAUUCAUUUUAAGUA
Molecule: transfer RNA, 67 nt
Filed under: Thitarodes xunhuaensis
Lineage: Eukaryota; Metazoa; Arthropoda; Insecta; Lepidoptera; Hepialidae
Also listed under: 4 other names
Description: tRNA-His
Source: RNAcentral